GAUGAACGCUGGCGGCGUGCCCAAUACAUGCAAGUCGAGCGAACGGACGAGAAGCUUGCUUUUCUGAUGUUAGCGGCGGACGGGUGAGUAACACGUGGAUAACCUACCUAUAAGACUGGGAUAACUUCGGGAAACCGGAGCUAAUACCGGAUAAUAUUUUGAACCGCAUGGUUCAAAAGUGAAAGACGGUCUUGCUGUCACUUAUAGAUGGAUCCGCGCUGCAUUAGCUAGUUGGUAAGGUGACGGCUUACCAAGGCAACGAUGCAUAGCCGACCUGAGAGGGUGAUCGGCCACACUGGAACUGAGACACGGUCCAGACUCCUACGGGAGGCAGCAGUAGGGAAUCUUCCGCAAUGGGCGAAAGCCUGACGGAGCAACGCCGCGUGAGUGAUGAAGGUCUUCGGAUCGUAAAACUCUGUUAUUAGGGAAGAACAUAUGUGUAAGUAACUGUGCACAUCUUGACGGUACCUAAUCAGAAAGCCACGGCUAACUACGUG
RNAcentral lists this ribosomal RNA (497 nucleotides) under uncultured bacterium. Its description in RNAcentral is "partial 16S ribosomal RNA". It matches the Rfam family "Bacterial small subunit ribosomal RNA", at positions 28 to 507 of the family's 1533-position model. The record is from RNAcentral.